ACGUACACUCCUACGGGAGGCAGCAGUGGGGAAUAUUGCACAAUGGGCGGAAGCCUGAUGCAGCAACGCCGCGUGCGGGAUGACGGCCUUCGGGUUGUAAACCGCUUUCGCCUGUGACGAAGCGUGAGUGACGGUAAUGGGUAAAGAAGCACCGGCUAACUACGUGCCAGCAGCCGCGGUGAUACGUAGGGUGCGAGCGUUGUCCGGAUUUAUUGGGCGUAAAGGGCUCGUAGGUGGUUGAUCGCGUCGGAAGUGUAAUCUUGGGGCUUAACCCUGAGCGUGCUUUCGAUACGGGUUGACUUGAGGAAGGUAGGGGAGAAUGGAAUUCCUGGUGGAGCGGUGGAAUGCGCAGAUAUCAGGAGGAACACCAGUGGCGAAGGCGGUUCUCUGGGCCUUUCCUGACGCUGAGGAGCGAAAGCGUGGGGAGCGAACAGGCUUAGAUACCCUUGUAGUCCCAUGAU
Molecule: ribosomal RNA, 461 nt
Filed under: uncultured organism
Description: partial 16S ribosomal RNA
Rfam family: Bacterial small subunit ribosomal RNA
Source: RNAcentral